Molecule: small RNA, 1047 nt
Filed under: Oryza sativa Japonica Group (Japanese rice)
Lineage: Eukaryota; Viridiplantae; Streptophyta; Magnoliopsida; Poales; Poaceae
Description: sRNA Os01g0200950
Source: RNAcentral
CUGCUGCAUAGCUCGAUAGCUGGAGCGGCUUGAAGGGAAGACCGGGGCAGCGCCAAAGUCACUGGGUCUUAGGCCAAACUGAUGAUGCCCAUCCCCGGAGUGCCCAUGGCCUCUCCUUGCUCUUGACUUCUCAACCCGGGUUCGGCGGAAGACUUCUUGAAUUUGGCGGUCAUUUUCCUUCAGCAUCUGAUCGACAUUGCCUGAAGGGCAAAUUAGAGGCCCAGAAUGGUGGAUCUUGUUACCCUUUGAUCCAUAGCCCUGUUCAGACAAGAAAUAGUCUGGAGAUACUUACAAUAGCUCCAUCCACCCUGCUACUCCUGUCAUCUUUCUGCUGAAAUACUUGAUCAUACUUUCCACUACUACUGAAACGCUCAUUUAUAGAUUCAGACAGCCUCCGUUCAUGCGGAAAGGCUUCGGCUUGAGUAACCACUGUUCCAUUGCCAUUAUCUGAACGAAUAUUUGAUCUUGUUGAUACAACCACACGGAAGUCCGAUGCGUUUGCAACACCAGAAAGAUGAAUAUCGCCAUUUUCACUCCGUCCAGCCUUUGAAGGUUUAUUUUGAUUAACUAGAGGCCCAGAAUGGAAUGUUCUUGUGUAGACACGUUGAGAGUCUUGAGACGAUUCAGCAGGAUGAGUUGGCCUGGGUGGCUCAAUCGGAAAGCCAGAUGCAGAGUCUUCCUUGCUGGGAUUGAACAUCUCACUCCUGCUCUUGGCAUUGACUUGGUUUUGUCUUUUCUGAAAUUGUACACAAAAAUAAAUAUAUUCAUCUAAAAAAAUAGAACAACUUGGAUAGCAAGAUUGUAGAGGAAAAAUACACUUGGAAUGUGUGCUGGCUAUUAAAGGCUUCAUUACAAUAUAUUCAAUAACAGUCAACAAGGUAUUACCUGCAAAGAUGACACUAAUUCUGCAUUUGCGUCAGGUGCAGGAACUGCUCUCGACUCUCUAGUCCGUCUUUCAGGAUCAUACUUGUGUUGCUUUCCUCCAGCAAUACCUUGCCUACAGAAAUGUGCAAAUGUCAAUUUUGAAAGAAAAUGCAGGCAUUGCAG